Myodes glareolus (Bank vole) is the source of this 157-nucleotide non-coding RNA. NCBI's taxonomy places the organism in Eukaryota, Metazoa, Chordata, Mammalia, Rodentia, Cricetidae. The record is from RefSeq and is a predicted model, not a curated record.
GUAUUUACACGGCAGGAUUUACCAUGAUGGCAAAAAUGGUUUUCCCUAGGCAAGGCUUAACUGUUGCACUCUGAAUGUGCUGACUUCUGUGAUUUUCCUAAAUGUGGGAGAUGCUGACUGUAUAAUUUACAAUAGUGGAGACUAUUUGCAUUCUACC